AAUUCUAUUCUUAACAAGGUUACUCAAAAUUUUCAUUGCUAAUUGAGUCCAGUUUGGUGGUAGUGGAAAAGCCAUAGGUAAUAAUGAAACAAUAGUUAUGACCAAGGGAAUUUUCAUCUGGACAUAGGUUGAUCUGAACAGGGCAGCUCCAGUCUGAGGUUAUUAGGGGUAAGGAAAGAUGGGUAUUUAAUUGAUUUAAUUAUAAAGUAUGCUUUGGAACUUUGGCAGUAAUUUUUAUAUAUAUAUAUAAAAGCAGUUCUUGGAAUAGGACAAUAUACUGAGACUUUUAUAGUUAAAUUCUGUAUACAGUUAAAUUAGUGUCCAUUCUUGGAAGGAAAUAAAAUUAGUCUAGUCUAGUUCUAAAUGACUUCUUUUUCUUAAACAGUAUAUAUGAUGGUGUGAGGCUUGCUCAGGUUUGCUUUCCUAUGUCAUAAUGGUAUCUGUUUCAUUGAAUUGCAAGGUAAAGAGAUUCCUUGGUCAUGUCAGUGCUUCAUCCCUGGGCAUACAUUUGAGACUAAAUUAUUUGUUAAAUAUUUAUUUGAGGAUUAACUUGGAACCAAAACUUCUGUUGCCCUUAGUUAUAUUGUAUCUAAUUACAAAGCGAAAUCUAAAAAUUUUCAUCUAGGCUUCAAAUGAGUAGCAUUCAAUACACUCCUGAGUGUAAGUAGCAACACUUAGUAACACGAAAGAUUUUGCUCUGUAACUAGCUAAUUUCUUCUUGGGUGUGAAUAAAUACUUGCAUUGAGCAUCUUCUGUAAGUUAUUUAAGCUUUUAGAGUAUAAUUGGCACAUCUUGUUGAUCAAAGUUCAUGCUUAGCUGAUUCCCGUCUUCCUUAUGGAUUUGCAAUGAAGAAAUUGCAGGCAUGGAGAUUAGCAACAGAGUUGACUUUGCAACCACCAUUGCCGGCCUGCUGUCAGCAAGUUUCUGCUUUAUGUGAUCACCUACUUCAACGCAAAUUCAGAGUCCCAGUGCAGAAGAAUGGGAGUGUGAUGUGAGGAAGAGGGCAUGAGACCCUGCUGUGGAGCACAAGCAGAAACAUCUACACAGUGAUCCACAAAGGUAUAAACAAAUUAGAAGAUAAAUGUAUGUGUUUGUAUUAUCAUGAGACUCAGUAUUCAUUUUGAUCAUAUGAAUUGAUCUAGUGUCAAGCUGCAGAAGUCUAACAGUGUGAAGAUGGCAUUUACAGCAAUGCAGGUAACACCUGAGUGGCUACCAGUCUCAUUUUGUAAGGUAAUUUAAUCUCUGAUCCUUCACUCAUUUUUAUUCUCUCUGCCUAAAAUAAACAAGCUUGGGCAUGUUUAUACGUACUUACAGUCAUCCUAUAUUUUUUGUGUAGAUUUUUUUUCUUACUCCUCUGGAAGCAAUCUGGAGAUUAUUGAAUUUCCUUUUGGAGAAAGCACAUAAGAAUCAAUGUAAGGGUUCAUAUGAACUUUUCAGGUGCUGUUUUCCCCUAAAGUUGUCAGAAGAGCACUGUUUGCUGUAGGUAAGUAAGUAAGAUCACUUGUAGCAACUGCUUUUUAGGCAAUUCCAGUUUUGGGGCUUAAAUCUUCUGUUGAUUUUUCCUGACAAAAAAGCUUUAAGACUGAAUGCUGUUUGGAUACCAUUCCUUCUGUUGUACGUUACAGUGUGGACAUAAUGUCCCUCUUGUGAACGGUGUUCUCACCAGGUUCCAGCAUAAACCGGAAGCUCUCUUCAGGCGGGUGCCUGAAGUUCCGUUGAAAUGGUCGAUUAGGGGAAGAAAGGGAUGGAGAGUUGUUGAGCUUGUUGCAGGACUCUGUAUGCUUCUCUUAAAACCACUUUUGUGUUAAGUGUUCUUGAAAGUUUCUCUCUAACUGGGCUGAUGCUAGGUAGCAUCUAUGUCAAUGCUUUGUUUUGCUCUACGGAUGCUCUUGAAUAGUAGUUUGCCAGGAGAUGGCAGUGAAUUACCAGUUUGUACAGCAUGACGCGCAGACAGAAUAGCAAAGUGUCAGGCUGCCCCUGUAAGGUCAAGUGUGUGUAGGGUGUCCUAUGGUGUUCAGCAGACCUUAACAGACUUGGAAGAUCUAAUGUUCUGUAGUGUUAAUGAAUGUGCUUUUAGCUGUAAAUGGCUAUUUUAGUUAGCUGAUAGACAUGUAAAACACCUGUGCAGUGGCUUCCUGAAGAGUCUCAGCUCACCUGAGGCAGUUAGGACCUUGCCAUUUGACUUCCUUUCACUGUGUUCCUUCCUAAUGAUUGCAAGGUAAUUGCAGGGACUGCAGGACAGAUCCCUCUGAGUGCCCUAUGUUGUUGCUCUUCAGGGAAUCAAAGAUCUCAGACUGCUUCUCUCUCCAGACGAGGCCCACAGUAAAGGUGUAUUUCAGAAGAAUGUUUUUCAUGAGUAACAGGUAUAUUUUUGAGAUACAUCAUAGAGCAGAUAAAUACUUAGGCAUAAGAUGGGCUGCUUGUUAAACGGUGAAAGAUGCAUACACAAAAAAACUUGGUGACCAGAUGUGGUGUAAUGUACUUUAGCUAAAGCUCAUCCCAGCAGUCAGUUGCAGGACAAAUCUGUAUAAAACUGUCUUAUUAGUUAGUGUUUUCAUUUAAAGGCUCAUGAAGUCAGGUGUCCUUUAGAGCUGCGAGAUACUUGCCAAGAACCUCACUAAUGGUGCCAGUUGCAAUUUGGGCUUGCAGUGUUUUUGCCUGUCUCUCACAUGGGUCAUCAUGCAGCUUAUGUUUUGACUUAUUUUUUAACAGGUUUCUAUUUUUCUUAGCAAAACAGAAGAUUCUCCCAUAGCCUGAAAGUGCUUGCCAAUGUUCAUGGUUUGGAAGUGGAUUGCAAGGAAUAACCUGCAGAUAGGCCAUAGUAUUUUCCUUUUGUGUGGUUUAUUGUUUAUUUUUUUAUUCUUUCCUCUUGCAUAGGUUAGGGAUAGGGGAUUUCAUCUCAUUUUUUUUCCAGUGUGUGAAAUGAAAGUGUACAGUACUGGCAGGGAAGCAGGUAUCUGCCUGGAGGAAAUAGAGGGUGAGAGUUAUUUUUACUUUUACCUCCUUCUGUUACAGUUUAAAUACUUGGACUUUAUUACUAGCCUGUUUGAAAAUUACCUUUGUAGACUCUUUCUUAAGUGAAAGAUGGUAUUAAGUGAAAAUACAUCACUGCACAAG
Long non-coding RNA from Pezoporus occidentalis (night parrot), 3117 nucleotides. RefSeq lists it as uncharacterized. The transcript has 2 exons. NCBI's taxonomy places the organism in Eukaryota, Metazoa, Chordata, Aves, Psittaciformes, Psittacidae. The record is from RefSeq and is a predicted model, not a curated record.